UCAUAUCCACAACGUAGCAUGUGCUUUUCAACUUGAGCGAAUUGAAACAUACACAAAGAGAUAUCUUAGUGCCAACAUUAGGAUGCAUCAGGAUAAACAAAGUAAGGCCUCCUCCCACAAAACAAGAGUUUUCUCAAGAGAUGGGAAAUACCAACAAGUCACGUUUGAACAUCUCUUGGGACUCUUGGGGCCACCGAUUACAGCCGUGCAACAUGCACACAAGUAUGGGGGAGGGACCACCAUUCAUACAUGAGGUAACCUUACAAUAUGAAAAUGAUCUAGCUACUAUUAUGGAUGAUGCGCAAAAUGAAAGGUAAACAACACUUGCAAUACAGACUAGACAAAAAAGCUGACCUACACAGGGUGUCAUACAGGGGGGGAAGGGGGAUAUCCCCCCCUAGCUCCAAUCCCCCCCCCCCUUCAAGUACUAGCUGUAUAACUGAGUGUCCAUAGCUGGGUAUUGAAAUAACAGUUGACCUUUUUUUAGCAACAUUUUCUGGUUUAUUUUCUCACUUUUCACCCUUCUACUUCAAAAUCCUGUAUGAUACCCUACUUCACGUGAACUAAAGUGUUGGUAAACUAGCUCUCCCAAGUUGAGUUAGCCAGUGUGUGCAGUACAGCGUUAUUUCAGUUUACCGUGUAUGCUUGAUCAGAGGCCGCUCUCAAAUAGUAGCCUCAGUGAACUUUGACUCUAGCAUUUCUGCACGUGGCAGCGAGAAAAAUUAUUAAUACUAGCAGCUAGCUGCAUGUACGUAGCUAAUAGGUACAGGUAGCAACUUGUUAGUGCUUCACAAAGAAUUUCUCAUGGCAGAGUUCAAGUUUAUGCAGAUGAAAAUAAUUUUUGAUGACAAACUAAAGGUAUUAAAUUAGCUGGAGCUCACAGUGGCCUCUCAGGAAUUGUAGCCUCCUCUUCCAGCAAAAUGAAACAUUUAGUAGCUGCGGCUCCUGAUCAAGCAUAUACGGUAUCUAGCUCUCUCAAGUUGAACUAGCCAGUGUUUGCAGUGCAGUAUUACUUCAGUUAUAAUCAAAAUGACGGCUUAGGUAAUACUAUCAACUUGGCUGUACACGUAAGUCCAAAGCAUAAUAAUUACAUAUUUAUAAAAUUGCUAGAGACACUACAAUUUUAGCCUAGCAUACAUACAACACCAUAACUGGCUAUUAUUUACAUAUAACAUUUAAUAGUGAAACCAAAAUAAUAAUACAAGAAAAAAAUGUCCCCAAGCUUUAACGAGUCUACUGUACGUAAGUACCAACUUUGCCUGACCUUGAGAAGUCUGCCUUACAGAAGACCUCGCCAUCACGGGAGUAGCAUUUGUCUGUGAGCAGCAUGUCGCAGUCCACACAGCGAAGACAUUUAGAGUGCCACGGCUUGUCAAGAACUUUAAGGAUGAAUCUGUCGACUAUUGGGUGAUGACAACCAGCACAGCAGGGGAUGUUGCCGCUAUCUGUGUGAGGGGAGGGGGCGGAUUUGUGAGGGUGUGGGAAUAGUGAAGGUGUGUGGAAAGGAACUUCAAUGCGUGUGCAGAUUGUGUGUGUGUGUGUGUGGCUGGGUUUUUUGAAUAGAGACAAUUAUCUGAUCAACAUUUUUAAAGAGAUUGAGUAGGUGGUCCCCACUCAGGAUAAAAGAGAGGUAAGUUUAUCUAUGGCAGACCCCACUCAUCACACAAAUAAUGCUUAACAUUAGUUUGAUGUUUUAACAAGAUGGAAUUGAAAAACAUAGCCAAUUUAGUCAGCAUGCCUAGAAAUACAAAUCUGAUGGGACCCGAAAAUAAGCAUCACUAAAAAAGGCAAAAGAGAGGGCUUUUGAAACUAUACAACCGUGGCCUCAAUUAGUCCAACUAUUCCGCUAGCAUUCACACCUUCAACCUGUUAAUUCCCCACAUUACUCAUCACACCUGGCUAGAGAUAAGCAGCAGCGGGCAGUCAAAGAGACAGAAUAAUGGAAGAGUAAUAUACUAGGUGAGUAGACUCACAUACUACAAACAAACCAACAUACUAUAUUAGAGCUGGAGUAAUGGGGGACAUGGACCUUUACUAGCAGAAUAUGAGAUGAAGCAUGGGUGGUCUCUAUUGGGAACCAUCAAAAACUAUAAAAAAAAAUUCAUGUCAGAACAGAUAUGAAUUUGGUCAUUGGAUCUAGCUAUAGUCACUAGUAUCUGUCAGAUCUAUAAAAACAGGAGAUAUGAAUUUCCGCGUCUUUGAAGAUAUGCAUUGCAAGAAUAGUAAGAUAUAAAUUUGGCUUCAACAGGUGGACACUACUAUGGUAGGGGCAUAUCCAAACACAAAACCAGAAAAAAAUAACAACUGGAUUAGCGUGUUCUUUUGAUGUCUACAAUAUGACCAAUUUAUAAAACCACAAUUUGUAUAACAUUGUAUCUCUUGAGCUUAGACCUACACAUGCAGCCCAUAAAUGUGGGAUGACCCAUGCAGCUAUUACAAUGUAUACCAUUGUGCAAGCUAUUAUUACGCUUUUAGUCUCAGUAAAUAAAAUCAUAGCAGAGCAACACAAACCACUAUAUAGUACGCCCCCACAGAAUUAUAAUAAAUGAAUUUCAAAGAACAGUUGGAUGCAGUCACUAAUCCUGUUUAACUACUUCCUGGCAGCAUAGAUCACCAGACACAAACCUGCCCCAGGCUAGACAGGACCAAUAAAUAAUUUAAUAUCUAGGGUUGCUGCUGGAUGACCAAUUAUGUAAUAGUUAUAGGCUGAGUCCAAGGUCUCCAUGGGGUUUUGAGAAAGAAGGCCUGAGGCUGUAGGAAGGCCUGAGGCUGUAGGAAGGCCUGAGGCUGUAGGAAGGCCUGAGGCUGUAGCAGAGCAUAGGAGGGUGCUACUAAGGGCCUAAAGGUAAAUAAAGAAAUGCAAUCCUACAUACAAUAGCCAGCAGCUAGUCACAUGAUAUUGACACUAUGGAUGGACAUACACAAGCAGUAAAUAUUUUUGUGCACCAGAACAUGGCUACUGCACAGUACACACCAUCCUUAAACUUACUCGCUCCCGAGUGAUGGUCUGGUUGCUGCUCCUGGAUGGUGUUGAAGGAAAAGUCUUGAGAUAUUACCUGCUGGGGGUCUAGGGGGGACUGUUGCGUGGGCGUCUGUACGAGGGACAGACCCCCCACCUGGUUGGAUACCUGCGAGGGGGCGGGUAUAAGCGUUAGCCCCUGCGGCUGGUUGUGAGGAGCUUGUACUUGAAGAGUUAAUCCUCCAGACGAUUGAACUGGUGAUUGUAUGAGGGUGAUGCCUUGAGAGGGGGUGGGGUACGACCCUGAACCAAACUCCAUUACACCUGGCCGUGCAUGCGUGUGUGGGGGAGAGAGGUAAGGGCAAUGGAACAAAUAAGGAAGUAAAAUUGAAAUAUUGAUUAUAGAGUGAUGAAGGGAAAGACAAUACAGAGUUGGACUCCAUAACAAUAACUAUAAAACAAAGAGUACCAAUGCAUAUGGUGGUGGUGACAUUACUAGUAGCCUUCUGACACAAUUGAUAUUUAGUUUAUUAGGGUGCAUGACCACAAGUGUAUGAUAAGGUGCACCAUGUUCCAGACAACUGAGCGCUAAAUACAGUCUCAAAGAAUUGAUAAGAACAGAUGCUCAAACCUCUCUUAUUGGGGUGUGUAAGGCGCCAGGUAGAGAUAAAACCUACUCUAGGCCACAUCUAUGGGCCACAGGCAGAGGUGUUGAUUGCCCAGGCUGCCACCUAUGGCCGCUAAAGCCAAGGUGUAAAUUGGCGAGACAGUCACAGCUAUAGAAGCAUUAAUAAGGACGCUAGCUACAGGCUGAAAAAUGCAUUUAACACAUCUAACGUUCACUAGAUCAUUUUACAAGUGUCUUCAGGUCCCAAUCAACCACUAUACAGACAUUAUACAACAGCUACUGACACACAACAUACCCUAUACUGAUUCUCAGGACCUACAAACAGCUCUUGUCUCUGCACUGCACUAGCUCUUCCAAAUUCUUUUCACUCAACUGAGCCCCUAAACAAAUUGGUGAAUUUUAAUUUUCUCCGCUUGUUUGAAACUAGAUCUAGAAUGCCUGAUGAAUUCACGCCUCCCAAUUAAUAUGCUAUAAGAGCAGCGAGGGUUGGGUCUCAAUGUAGAUUCACUGAACACGAAAAACUGGGGGUUACAAGCUGAUCAAUUUUAAUGAUAGGGGCAGGGGGCGGAAAAUAGUUUCCGGGAUUUCUUUUCAUGUCUCAGAAGUUACAAAUUUCUCAUGUUAUACACAAUAGCCCUAGCUACAAGCAAAAUACAUGAUAUCUCUUUGCAGAAACUUUGCAAUGUAUUAUUGCCACGAGUUCAAAUGCAUUGCCUACAGUUAAGUGGUUGUAUAUAUAGAUCUAUAUAUCUACACAGAUUUAUACUGUUAUAUACAAGCCAGUUAUAUCUCUUGUUGGAGCUAGCUAUAAUAAAAUUCCAGGCAGCCAGGCCCGCCUACUAUCAGUAGUGGUACAAAGUAUGUAAUAAUCUCAGCUUGAAAAACCACCCUUAUUAGCUAGUAAAAUUCCUGUCAAAUUCUAUCCUAAUGCAACCAAACGUGCAGUCUACAUACCUCCUCGAAUGGUCUCCUGCAGAAUUAGACUUCACAAACUAGUAUGUUCUAAGAGCUCUCUGAUCUUCAGUGGUAUUGAUUUAUAAGAGCCGGGGCCUCUGCUAAUUCACUCUCAAUCGACUCAAUCAAUCCUGUUCAGUAAGUUUUACAAGGCGGUCACCACGCCCCCCUCUUAGUCAAGCAGGAAGCAGCAUGGACUAAGCUAAGAGGCAGCUGCCUUGUUGAUAGUACCCUCGGCCUCAAAGAGAUGCUUUGUACAGUAAUGGAGUCCUGCUACACCCUGGAAUUGAAGUGUUUUGCAAGCUACAGCACUUGGAUACGUCGUUACGUCAUGUAGAGAUGAUAUCACCAAAUGUUUAUAUCUAUUCUGAAUUUCUGCCGGCUCUCUGUAUUUUCCUGCUCAUUGAACUCUGCUGGGUGAACUCAGCACUAAUCAAUAACCUCUUGCCACUACCAAGUGUCAGUUAUUACAAGCACCAGGCUAAUUCAUUGGAGGAGACACUGCAAGUACACGCUACUUGUUUGUGUCCGCCACAGGCGAUGAAGAAUGUUCUAAUUAUGUGCUCGUCAUUUCAACCUCCCUGACAUCUGUUUGUAGCACGCAAGUACCCGUAGGAGAGAGCCUUGCAGUAAAGAACCAUACAGUGCCUACUACAGUCAAGGGCCGUUGCUUAGAGACAAAUAUACAUACGUACGUACAAAGCAAAUCUGACUAAAACUUACUUUACGAACAAUUUAAUUUUCGAGUACUUUAUGUUUGGGAGUGGGUGUGUGAUAAUUUUUGUGUGAUAUUUGUUUGUUACAGGCAAUGCUGACACACGUAAAAUACACAAUAACAUAAUGCUUAAUUGGAUUAAUUGGCAGUCUCUGCUCGUGGACAGUGUGUUAAGCCAAGGGUGUGGUAUGUACAUGUAUACACAAGCUAGUCAAUUCAUUUACCGAGUAGCCAACAUUUGUUCGACUAGAGAGUUCUCGCUAUUAGUGCUUGAGGGGCGUGGCAUUUGGUGUGGCGGUAACGGGUUCCUCUCUGUUUCUUCGUCCAAUUUACAAUACGAUCCCACUCGACUUUCGGCCGCAAAGUGGCCAGGUGUGAGUUCGUUGUUGACGUGCACCUGUACUUGUACGUGAGGUAGGUAGAGUUGCUGGUUGGGUUUGAAAGUAGAGCAGUUUAAAGUCGGUGUAUGUGUCGACAUUGGUCUCAAGCUGCCCUUGCUAAACCAUAGACCAAGCUUACUACUGCGUCGAUCUAAACUGUCUGUAUAAUUCUUCGCCGAUUUGUGCCUUAUAACGACGUCAGUUCUAUUCACAAUACUCAUUUGGUGACCACUGAUGCUUGAAUGCGACGAGCCACUGCUAUUGGUCCGUUCGAGGUUACAUAAUGACACUCUCUCGCUGUCCCGUCUUCUCCUCCUUACUUUCUUUCUUCGCUGCCUCCCUCUUAGACAGAGCAUGUACAACAGUAGUGUGAUGAUCACUAGGCAGAGGGUAGCCCCCACACUAGCUAUGAUUAUGAUAUAGAAUAAUGGUAGCAGUAGUUCCUUUUCUUGAGCUGCUGUAGUUGUGACGUCCGUUGUAAAAAUGGCUACUGUAGGGGGCAUUGUUGAUACGUUAGCAAACGACGAUACUAGGGUUAUACUUGUUACUGAUAGUGUUGUUGAUACAGUUAAUGGCGUUGUUGUAGUGUUCAUAGGUUCUUGUGAGAUUAACUUUGUUUGAUAAGUAGACAAUCCUUGAGGCGUACUUGUAUCACUCGUGUACACUGAUGUUGGUCUUAUUACCAUAGUGGAGUUCAUGGUAGCCUUGCCCAAAGGUGCUUGAGAUGUAGCUUUAGUUACUGAUAAAUCUACCGAACUCCGUGUAAUUGUUCCUGUGGUAGACACUGUAUUAUAAGAAGAAGUCUCACUUGGGUUCCUCGUGAAGCCUUGUGUGUUUUCAGCUGUACUAGCCUUUGAUGUUGGAGUCAUAGUAGUCACAGGGCUAACAUCUGUGCAUGUACUAUAUGUAGUAACAGUAGCUGUAUUGUAUGUCUGUGUGUAAAAUAAGCAUUAAACACUCAUGCAGGUAUUAUUUUAUUGAACUGGCUAUGUUUUGUGUAACUCACUGUGUUCUGUCCUUGAGCAUAUUGGAUACUUAGUAGCACAGCCACAAACAAGUGUGUUCUUGGCAUUACGACAGCUAUUGACUAACGACUUGGAUUGUUCACUAUUAUACAUGUAGUUGUUCUAUUGAUGUCGCUAGCUGCAUAGUAGUGAAAGUAACUCUCCGUAGAUAGAUCAACUAACUAGACAUGUGUUUGUGUGACAAAGUAAACAAUAACGACACGAGCACACAUAAACUGAUGGUUGACAAUAUCUGUGAAUUGCAGCAACAGGUUUACACAUUAGAGAGAUAGUGCAGUACGUCUUUUGUCUUUGUGUGUCGUAGUGUAAAGCUAAACCAUUCUCUAAAUGUUUGGAGAAUGGUAUGGCACAAACAAUUGUUUCUGAAGUGAAAGUGAAAGUUUACGUCUAUUUUGUAUACAUUAGUAAUACAUUCGUAGAUUGUUGUACAAUUGGGACUAGAGUCGGCUCUGUAACAAGAGUUCUGGUGAUCAAAAUUCAACGCUUUUAUGAUUUUCUGAAAGCUUAUAAGGAGCUUAUCAGAUGGUAUGCUCAAUUCUCAAAUUUGGAACGGGCCACAAUUUCCCAUUUUCGGAAAUGACCAUAUAACCCAUGGUAUUUUAUUAUAUAACCCAUGGUAUUUUAUUAUAUAACCCAUGGUAUUUUAUUAUAUAACCCAUGGUAUUUUAUUAUAUAACCCAUGGUAUUUUAUUAUAUAACCCAUGGUAUUUUAUUAGACUUGAAAUACAUCUUAACGAGCUCAUUCUAAGUUUUCAUGAAUUAUCGUUUGUACCAACGGAACAAAGUUAUGGCCGUUCAAAGAUGCUUUAUUGAACGCUGGGUAUAUUUGGGCAUAAUUUAUUGCAUAAUAAUGGGGGCCGGUACACUACCUGAGUGCAUAUACUUUAGCUAUGUAUAAUUUAUGUUGAAACAGCUACUAAUGGACACAGUGUGUGUUCAAGGCGUGUACACAUGUGGGUUGAAUAAACAUACAGGUUUAAGAAAGCACACACGCACUUAUUAACGAAAAGUACCUGCACUCACUCACAAUCACUGAGUAAGAGUUCGUUAAGAAAUGGAUAUUAUUGUAGUCAGUGCUGUCGCAGUUGGGGUAGUGCUAACUCUAAUUCUACUAGUUACUAUUGCUAUUGCUGUUGUCCUGGCAAUGUACAACCAUCGGCAGAAGAAUUCCUUCGAUAUAGUCCAAAGAGAAGAUUUUCCACUCAGCUAUGGUGUUAUGAGAGAUGGUACAAAUGAGUAUGAUGAUGCAACUUCGAUAAUGAAUAAGAUGCAUGAAGAGAAAGACCGGGAAUCCAAUGUGGAAGUGGAAAAUGAAUUCUGUAUCAAGAACAUGUCAACUGGACAGAGCCAUACGAGCGGUUACGAAGAUGCAAGUACUGAGCUAACUUCCACAUUCCAAGUGAAUGUCUCCCUGGAAACUGAAGAGCCUCCAGUCAUUGAUAAAACAACAGCCAGCCCUGUGAAAUCGCUCAAAUCGAAACCCCUCGCCCCUCCAAAACCUUGCAAACCACCCCCCACAACUGAUGAGAGUCACGUUUAUGUUAAUAGUGCUUCAGUCAUUGAUAAAACAACAGCCAGCCCUGAGAAAUCGCUCAAAUGGAAACCCCCUGCCCCUCCAAAACCAUGCAAACCACCCCCCACAACUGAUGACAGUCACAUUUAUGUUAAUAGCGCUCCAGUUAUUGAUAAAACAACAGCCAGCCCUGAGAAAUCGCUCAAAUCGAAACCCCCUGCCCCUCCAAAACCAUGCAAACCAUCCCCCACGACUGAUGAGAGUCACAUUUAUGUUAAUAGCGAAGCAAUGCACACAGUCGUGCAAAACAGUCCCAAACGACCUCCCAAACCCCCCAAACCACCCAAACCAUCCAAACCCAGUGCAGCUGUCUUACACUGAAAGUAAAACUGCAGAAACGAACAUUAAAUUACUGAUGACUCUAAAUGUGUUACUAUAUAGUUUUACGUGUUACUGUACUAUCUCUGUUUAUGUGAUGGUUUCAACUUUUAUUUUCAUAACGUGCCUGUUCACCUAAUACUUAAUACACCUGAAACUGCCUGUAUGUGUGUAGUGCACUGUAUGUAUUCCACCUACACAUGCAGACUAAUGGCUACCUUUGAAGAAAGCUUCCAACUAUAUAAGGUCAUACUAACAAACCCAGAAAGGAAGUACUACAUAUGUGUGGGUUAGACUUUGACAGUACUAGUGCAAUAACAAGUGAGGUACAGCUAACAAGGUACAGAUCUAGUCUCUAUGGAGAAACAUUCGAGCAUCAUCCAGGCCGAAGCCGUUGCCGUGAUAGUAGGUCUCAUCCUUCUCGCACUGGUCAUCACAAUCGUUAUCCUUCUAGUGAUUAUCUACAUAACGAAGCAAAAGAUGAAAGAGAGAUCACAAUUUACAAUCCACGUCUCUCGCAACUUCAAGAACUCGUUUCGAGACAAAGAGACUCCAGUAAGUGAUUACGACAGACAAUCUCUCAACAAUCGACCAUUCGAUGUGCCAGAUCCUCUGACUGAGAGUUUGGACAAUCCACUAUACCAGCACACCACCUCAUUCACAGGUGCUACUAACGAAGUAGCUAUAGCUAGUGCUACUAAUGAAGUAGCUACAGCUGGUAUUACUAAUCCACGCAACGAGCAAGGCAACUCUGCUGGUAGUGACGUCUCCAUUCCAAGUUUGAAAGAAGUAACUGAUUCCGGAUCCGUAUCGAAACAAGACCUGACAGGAAAUGAUUACCAGGUACCACUACCAUCAUCUCCUGCCAAACCUGUUGCCCUCCCACGAGGAUCAGCCCAACUCGUAUCCCCUCGAAGACCCCCUCCCAUGCUGCCAGUAAUAAUUAAACCAAAGCCGUACAAUGGUUCGUCUGUAAAUAAACCACCAGUUCCUGGGAAACCCACAAUAGCAACGAAGCCGUCCAAACAGCCAGUUCUACCCCCCAUUGGGAGACCCCCUGUGGAGAAUAAGCCCAAUGUCAAACCAAAGCCUAAAGCCUUGCCUCGAAAAAUCUAACUAUCAAACUUGCGAACAUGUUACAAUAACAUUCUGUAUAGUAUCUAGUAGCUAAGUUUUUAGAAGUUAUGAGAAUUGAGCAAACAGAGAUUUGAUAUUAAUUUUGUGAGUUUGUCAAACAUUGUGUAAAGUUGUCAAAUUAGUGAGGCAGAUAAUUAUGUAAAAUGUAAAUUAUAGCUAUCUACCUCAGUACAUGCAUUGCUGACGUAAAUCAUUCAAUUUGUCAA
This is a long non-coding RNA of Halichondria panicea, 9895 nucleotides long. RefSeq lists it as uncharacterized. The record is from RefSeq and is a predicted model, not a curated record. Lineage: Eukaryota; Metazoa; Porifera; Demospongiae; Suberitida; Halichondriidae. The transcript has 7 exons.